UUGUUUUCAUUCUUAAUAUUGAAAUGCAAGUUGUAUUUUAUGAUAAUUCAUAACAUAUAUAUAUAUAUAGGUUGAGAGCACGGAUGCGGCCACUUUUCUUUUUGACAAAGACCAUCUGUAAAACGACAUUUUUUGGCUUAUUUGAUAGUUUUUUUCAUAUUUAAGCUUGAAUCGGAGCGUGUUUAAUGGCUAAACCAGUUAAAGUCUUUCACAUAAACUAAUUGAAUCAACUGAAAUAGACAUUUAAGUGUUUAAAAAGUGUCAGAUGAAUCUGGAAUAUGAGGCCUUAAUCGGCUCUUACCGGACCUACUCCUUUGUUGAUAUAGUGGAUGUGUUGAAAUGAUCGACUCUGUUCACAUACUUUAAUCAAACAGAUCAUGUUGGUGCAUUUGGCUGACGCGUCUUAUCUUGUCCGAAUACCAUGAAUUGUUUAUGAACCAUAAAGUAGGUUGCAACAUUUAAUGGUCCCUGGAGAGGACUGACACUACUAGAUAUACUUGAAGAGAAAGCAUUCAAAUAUUGUGAUUUUUUUAAGA
Molecule: long non-coding RNA, 536 nt
Filed under: Mytilus galloprovincialis (Mediterranean mussel)
Lineage: Eukaryota; Metazoa; Mollusca; Bivalvia; Mytilida; Mytilidae
Source: RNAcentral